AGUGAACGCUGGCGGUAGGCCUAACACAUGCAAGUCGAACGGCAGCACAGUAAGAGCUUGCUCUUACGGGUGGCGAGUGGCGGACGGGUGAGGAAUACAUCGGAAUCUACUUUUUCGUGGGGGAUAACGUAGGGAAACUUACGCUAAUACCGCAUACGACCUACGGGUGAAAGCAGGGGAUCUUCGGACCUUGCGCGAUUGAAUGAGCCGAUGUCGGAUUAGCUAGUUGGCGGGGUAAAGGCCCACCAAGGCGACGAUCCGUAGCUGGUCUGAGAGGAUGCUCAGCCACACUGGAGCUGAGACGCGGUCCAGACUCCGACGGGAGGCAGCAGUGGGGAAUAUUAGACAAUGGGCGCAAGCCUGAUCCAGCCAUACCGCGUGGGUGAAGAAGGCCUUCGGGUUGUAAAGCCCUUUUGUUGGGAAAGAAAAGCAGCAGGUUAAUACCCCGCUGUUCUGACGGUACCCAAAGAAUAAGCACCGGCUAACUUCGU
RNAcentral lists this ribosomal RNA (491 nucleotides) under uncultured bacterium. RNAcentral's name for it is "partial 16S ribosomal RNA". It matches the Rfam family "Bacterial small subunit ribosomal RNA", at positions 29 to 506 of the family's 1533-position model. The record is from RNAcentral.